Molecule: ribosomal RNA, 535 nt
Filed under: uncultured bacterium
Lineage: Bacteria
Description: partial 16S ribosomal RNA
Rfam family: Bacterial small subunit ribosomal RNA
Source: RNAcentral
UGGGGAAUAUUGGACAAUGGGCGAAAGCCUGAUCCAGCCAUGCCGCGUGUGUGAAGAAGGUCUUCGGAUUGUAAAGCACUUUAAGUUGGGAGGAAGGGCAGUAAGUUAAUACCUUGCUGUUUUGACGUUACCAACAGAAUAAGCACCGGCUAACUUCGUGCCAGCAGCCGCGGUAAUACGAAGGGUGCAAGCGUUAAUCGGAAUUACUGGGCGUAAAGCGCGCGUAGGUGGUUCAGCAAGUUGGAUGUGAAAUCCCCGGGCUCAACCUGGGAACUGCAUCCAAAACUACUGAGCUAGAGUACGGUAGAGGGUGGUGGAAUUUCCUGUGUAGCGGUGAAAUGCGUAGAUAUAGGAAGGAACACCAGUGGCGAAGGCGACCACCUGGACUGAUACUGACACUGAGGUGCGAAAGCGUGGGGGAGCAAACAGGAUUAGAUACCCCUGGUAGUCCACGCCGUAAAACGAUGUCGACUAGCCGUUGGGGAUCCUUGAGAUCUUAGUGGCGCAGCUAACGCGAUAAGUCGACCGCCUGGGG